This 28-nucleotide non-coding RNA is filed under the name Callithrix jacchus (white-tufted-ear marmoset). RNAcentral also lists the same sequence under 1 other name. Lineage: Eukaryota; Metazoa; Chordata; Mammalia; Primates; Cebidae. The record is from RNAcentral.
UAAAGACACGGGUGUCAGGCUUUCUGGG